Clupea harengus (Atlantic herring) is the source of this 561-nucleotide non-coding RNA. NCBI's taxonomy places the organism in Eukaryota, Metazoa, Chordata, Actinopteri, Clupeiformes, Clupeidae. The record is from the annotation of a RefSeq genome assembly.
CACCUAAAUCUAACAACAGGAAGAAGUUUUACUCUACUGGUGAUUCAACAUCACCACUUCCUCUAUUUGGACGAGUCUCCUUGAUAUCAGUGACAUUUGUGUUUACAGCUCUCAUGUACCAACAUGAUCCGAGGCCUCUUCAUCCAGCUGAUUCUAAUACCACUCUGGGUUAAAGGACAAAGUUAUGAAGUUCAACAGAAUCUUCGUGAGCUGUUAAAGGCCCCAGGAGACAAUGUGUCAUUGAAUUGCAAACAUAAAAUUGCAAACUUCUACAUGAUUUUGUGGUACAAGCAAACUGUUCAAGGUUCUAACCUUGAUCUCAUUGGAUUUGUGUCCUACACCUCACCAACUGUUGAAAAGCAGUAUGAUAAACUCUUCAACGUGACUGGGGAUGGUAGUAAAGAAAGCACUCUUCAUUUUCUGAAACCGAUCCAAGUUGAAGACAGUGCUGUGUAUUACUGCGCUGCCAGUAAAGCACAAUGCUACAGGUCCCCUUGCUGCCUUACAAUAACCCCAGGAGUGUCUGACACCUGUGGCAACAAUGGGCAGUUCUCCAAAUGA